GUAACUGAUAAAAUUUUACAUUCACUUAAAAAAUGGUCACUAUUUCCUUCUGUACUACAUAGCUUGUGUCCACAAUUUGUCUUUUACCUAUUUUCGGGGAAACAUAAAGAUUACUUAUAGAAUUUAGUAGUUCUUUGGAAUCAGAUUGUUUCCUGCCUUCCAGUUUUCUCAAGUGCACACCGUGUGAACAGAUGUGCUGGAAAGCUGUUUGCUGGUAAACAAACAAAAGGAAAGGAAGAAUGUAGUGUUCCCUGAAUGUAGGCUCUGCGACAGUUUUAGGAAAACAAUUUUAAGAUGUGUAAUCAUAAAGUAACUAGGUUUUUUGAUAUAAAAAAAGCCAAGACCUAGGUACAGACUAGAGUGCAGAGUAUGGUAUUGCCAACCCAUCUGCAUCUCUAAAGGAUAUUUACAAUCUAAAACCCGCUUUCCAGAAAGCUAGGCAAAGUUUCAGCUUAGUUUACUUUUUAUAUAUAAUAUAGACAGAGAAAAUAAAUAUUAACCUCACAGUAAAGGACUCAUCUCUGAAAACACAUAGUCUGUUGCUUUAGAUAACAAAUUAAGACAAUACAGAACGAAUUCACUUCAGUUGUGCUUACACAUAUAGUUUGGGAAGCUUUGCGGCCAGCUUGUUAACAGGAAAGUGUUACCGUCACAUCCACAUUGCUUCUGAGCUUUUCUCAUGCCCCUCAGGACCGUAGUGGCUGCUCAAAUAUGCAUUACUCCCUGAUUUUAGGUAGGAGCCCUUUGGAAGUCAUGGUAACUUGCUCAGGCUGCAACAUAUUCAUACAUUAAGACGAUCGUCUGCCAACCUGCUAGGCUGAAACAUGGAAGUGUCUCUAUUCACCUGCACCUACCAUUUUAACUGUCAAAUCUGAUUACUUCAUGUGACUUGCCUUGCUGCAUCCUGGAACCUGGAAACCAAAGGAGUUGUCAGGGCCCUGGGAUAUGAGUCAGAACACUGUUAAGAUCACGACUGCAUUCGCUUCUGCCUGGAAGGGAACCGUGACACAGGCAGGUAUGUCUUGCAGCGAGGGACACGAGUGAACCUUCUCUCCUUUCUCUGUUUCCAAACUAGCUUUGUCAUCUGUAAAAGUGCUGUAAACAUUCCUCUCAACGGAACAGCCUCUGCCAACAAAUAGAGUUCUCGCUCUUGAAAGAAACUUUGAGUUCAAAUGUGGCACACUGUGGACAUGAAUGCGUGGCAACCGUGACUUCCUGGGUCAACACCAGUCAGCCGAGGGACAGUAUCCUGCUGUCCGCCAUGAAAGACCCUUGUUGCUGGGAUAGUCACCGCCGAGACGGGUACUUGGAAGCCCAGUCUGUCCGGCCGUGCACUGGCUGGGCGGCUGGAGGCCGGGGUUUCAAGCCAGGGGUGCUUCUUGGCUGAGUGUGGAAGAAAGGUCGCCCAGGAAGGGGUCUCACGGCCUUCAGGGAAGAAUAGCCUGCAACAGAAGAGACAGGGUGGCCUGAUUGACAGGGGACCUAAGCAAGCCAGGCAUAGGUAAAUGAAUCGUGGUGACAAAAACAUCUUACCCCCUUCUUCUUAUCCUUUCCUACUUAGUGCCUGUAUCAACCAACCACCACUCUCACCCCAGCUAGAAUCCUACUUGCAACCUGUUCCCACAUGGUCUAACAACAACGAGCAGGUUGGAUGAGCCUGUGGCUGACAGGUCAAGGUUCUCCUCUGCCUCAAUCCUUUCAGCAGCUCCUGUCAGAGUCAGCCGAGAAGCCUGCAUACAGGGGCCUCAGACACAACCCCAGGUCUCUCGCCACUCCACCUCCUCUUGUAACUCCUGUCUCACUCGAGCCCCUCCUGCAUGCUAACCCCCUUGCCAUUUCUUAGCGCCGUGAGGCCUGCCUGCCCCGGAGCCUGUGCGCUGCAGAAGCCACAUCUAGAACAGUCUCCCCCACACCAACUGCACGAUCACUUGCCCCCUUCAGAGCUCUCCUCAAUGACUCCUUUGCAGUGAGCUAUUCUUUGGCUUUUCUGGCUAAAAUCACAAUCUGUAGCUCACACUCCAACCCCCACAAGUGCUACCUUCCUCCUGGUUUAUUUUUUUCUUAACACUUAUGAGCAUCUGACGCUGCUUUAACUCCAUCAUCAUCUGUACAGAGCAAGCUUUCCCAGGGAAGUGUUCUGUCUGUCUUGUGCACUGACAGAUUCUGGGUAGAUGCCUGAAGAGAGCAACUGUUUGGUGUGAGGUGUCUAGCUGCCCCCCUAAAGUCUCUUCCAGCACAGGUGGGGCUUUUUCAGAGGUAGCUGGAUCUAGAGUGUGUGACACUGGGAUUGAUUUACAGUGCAGGAUCAAGGGCACUAGGAUAGAGGGUAUGAAUGCUACCUGCCCUAAGUAGCUCCAAUAAAAUGAAAGGGAUAGAAAGAACUGUGGUUCCCCUUGUAGGUUUUGCUGUCUUCUGUUUGCCACAAACUGUUUCUUUGCAGUUCCUUUCUGCCAAGUCACUCUGCCUUUGAGCCUGCUAAUUCUGGACUGAAACCUCUACAAACUGUGAGCCAAAUAAACCUUUCCUCCCUGAA
Molecule: long non-coding RNA, 2533 nt
Organism: Cavia porcellus (domestic guinea pig)
Lineage: Eukaryota; Metazoa; Chordata; Mammalia; Rodentia; Caviidae
Exons: 2
Source: RefSeq, a predicted model, not a curated record